Molecule: ribosomal RNA, 512 nt
Filed under: uncultured Rickettsiales bacterium
Lineage: Bacteria; Pseudomonadati; Pseudomonadota; Alphaproteobacteria; Rickettsiales
Description: bacterial SSU rRNA
Rfam family: Bacterial small subunit ribosomal RNA
Source: RNAcentral
UACUGAGUGGCAGACGGGUGAGUAACAUGUGGGAAUCUGCCUUGUGGUUCAGGACAACAUUGGGAAACCGAUGCUAAUACUGGAUAAGCCCUUACGGGGAAAGUUUUAAUGCCAUAAGAUGAGCCCGCAUUUGAUUAGUUAGUUGGUGAGGUAAUGGCUCACCAAGACAAUGAUCAAUAGCUGAUCUGAGAGGAUGAUCAGCCACACUGGGACUGAGACACGGCCCAGACUCCUACGGAGGCAGCAGUGGGGAAUCUUGCACAAUGGAGGAAACUCUGAUGCAGCGAUGCCGCGUGAGUGAAGAAGGCCUUUGGGUUGUAAAGCUCUUUUGUAGGGGAAGAUAAUGACUGUACCCUAAGAAUAAGGUCCGGCUAACUUCGUGCCAGCAGCCGCGGUAAUACGAAGGGACCUAGCGUAGUUCGGAAUUACUGGGCGUAAAGCGCGCGUAGGCCGUUGAGUUAGUUAAUUGUGAAAUCCCAAAGCUUAACUUUGGAACUGCAAUUAAAACUGCU